RNAcentral lists this ribosomal RNA (253 nucleotides) under uncultured bacterium. Its description in RNAcentral is "partial 16S ribosomal RNA". It matches the Rfam family "Bacterial small subunit ribosomal RNA", at positions 524 to 776 of the family's 1533-position model. The record is from RNAcentral.
GACAGAGGGUGCAAGCGUUGUUCGGAAUUACUGGGCGUAAAGCGCGCGUAGGCGGCUUUUUAAGUCGGGUGUGAAAUCCCACGGCUUAACCGUGGAAGUGCAUUCGAUACUGGAAGGCUUGAGUCCUGGAGAGGGUGGUGGAAUUCCCAGUGUAGAGGUGAAAUUCGUAGAUAUUGGGAGGAACACCGGUGGCGAAGGCGACCACCUGGACAGAGACUGACGCUGAGGUGCGAAAGCGUGGGUAGCAAACAGG